UACGUAGGGGGCGAGCGUUGUCCGGAAUUAUUGGGCGUAAAGAGCGUGUAGGCGGUUCGGUAAGUCUGCCGUGAAAACCUGGGGCUCAACCCCGGGCGUGCGGUGGAUACUGCCGGGCUAGAGGGUGGUAGAGGCGAGUGGAAUUCCCGGUGUAGCGGUGAAAUGCGCAGAUAUCGGGAGGAACACCAGUAGCGAAGGCGGCUCGCUGGGCCAUUCCUGACGCUGAGACGCGAAAAGCUAGGGGAGCGAACGAGG
Molecule: ribosomal RNA, 255 nt
Filed under: uncultured bacterium
Lineage: Bacteria
Description: partial 16S ribosomal RNA
Rfam family: Bacterial small subunit ribosomal RNA
Source: RNAcentral